UCGAGCGGUCUCUUUCGGGAGACAGCGGCGGACGGGUUAGUAACGCGUGGGAACGUGCCCUUUAGUACGGAAUAGCCAUUGGAAACGAUGAUUAAUACCGUAUACGCCCUUCGGGGGAAAGAUUUAUCGCUAAAGGAUCGGCCCGCGUUAGAUUAGGUUGUUGGUGGGGUAAUGGCCUACCAAGCCUACGAUCUAUAGCUGGUUUGAGAGGAUGAUCAGCAACACUGGGACUGAGACACGGCCCAGACUUCUACGGAAGGCAGCAGUAGGGAAUCUUGGACAAUGGGCGAAAGCCUGAUCCAGCCAUGCCGCGUGAGUGAUGACGGCCCUAGGGUUGUAAAACUCUUUCGUCAGGGAAGAUAAUGACGGUACCUGGUAAAGAAACCCCGG
Molecule: ribosomal RNA, 390 nt
Filed under: uncultured Alphaproteobacteria bacterium
Lineage: Bacteria; Pseudomonadati; Pseudomonadota; Alphaproteobacteria
Description: bacterial SSU rRNA
Rfam family: Bacterial small subunit ribosomal RNA
Source: RNAcentral